CUUUGUUAUUGAAAGAAGUAGUGACAUGAGGAUGCUCAUUUCCCGAAUUCUUUUUUUCAUAAUUUUUGUCCCCUUCCAACUUUUUUACCUUCCAUAUACAUUCACAUACUUUUACUCCCUACAUUCCACAUUGCAACAUGUUUUACCCCUGAAAUCCUAUAUCCAAAACGUGUCUUGUCAAGAUCCUUGAAAUUACAUACAUAAAUCGAUCUAAUUCAUACUGCACCCACUUGUCAUCUAUUACAUGAUAUAAUUGGCUAUAAAUGUGGAAAUACAUGUAGUCCCACGGUUCCCCAAGAAUACAUAUAAAAC
Molecule: long non-coding RNA, 312 nt
Filed under: Mytilus galloprovincialis (Mediterranean mussel)
Lineage: Eukaryota; Metazoa; Mollusca; Bivalvia; Mytilida; Mytilidae
Source: RNAcentral